Brassica oleracea var. oleracea is the source of this 2245-nucleotide long non-coding RNA. RefSeq lists it as uncharacterized. The record is from RefSeq and is a predicted model, not a curated record. NCBI's taxonomy places the organism in Eukaryota, Viridiplantae, Streptophyta, Magnoliopsida, Brassicales, Brassicaceae. The transcript is spliced from 7 exons.
UAAUUAAUCAUAGACCUUUCCCUUUCUUCUUCUUCCAAAACGAAAAAGUUAUAACUCUUAUUUUGCUUUCACUUUCCAAACUGUUUUCUUUUUCUCUUCCCUCUCCAUAAAUUUUGUUUCAGAUUUCUAAUUAUAACAUUGAUUCUUAUCGAACCACCUUGAAAUCACCUCCUUCGGUAAAAAAAAGAAAGAAUCAAUGGUGAUGAGUCUCAUAGAUGAGUGAUGGUCGUGUAAUCAUAUUCAUGUCCUCAUAAUCAGCUUUGCAUCAAGAAGAAGCUGAGACUAACCGAUACAUAUAUUUUGAGUAUUUCCCCAAAUCUUAUUUAUCCUCUACUUGAAACAAUGGAGACCAAAGAAGAGAAGAAGAUCCUCACAGAGGAAAAACUUAGAACGGAAGAAAAGAAGGCUGUCAAGGAAGCUAUUGAAGGAGGGACAUAGAUCUUUCCAACUGUUCGAUCCUGUUGUAUUGUGCAGCAUGUGAAACCAGAGGAAGGUAACCUAUAUAUGGAUAUGCUCCAGAACCAAUUGAUGUUCGAAGGAUAUUAUUAUAUGCAGACAUUCUCUCAAAUGGAGGGGAAGUCACAUUACAAUAGAUGGUCCAGUUGAUCCUGGUUGAUUUUACAAAAACCAUCCACGAUUCAAAUUUUUAAGUGGCAGUAAGGUGAAUGAUGGGCUUAUCGAACUGCAGAUUCUUGCUUGGAAUCCCGAGUAGAGUCUCUGAUUCAAAAUUCAAACAGUGAAUUCAGUGUGAUUAUAUUACAGAUGAAUGAACAAGACUGCAUCCUGAUCUCAUGUCUUUACCCUUGAAAGACGAGAAUAAAAUUAUCUCUAGGAUGGAUCACAAAGGCAAGAGAAAUGUAAUUGACAUAUAUGCAGCUCUGUGGAGGUAGAGGCAAUAUUAAAGCUCCUGCCAAGGCAUUGUUCGGGCAACCAGAAAAGAGCUUAAAUUUCUAACCUUUUUAGUCAGAACAAACAAGAGUGUAACGCAGCCAUAGUCCUUGCUCGCUCUUUUGAUUGCAAUUUUUAAAUAUGGGAGUUGAGGCUUAUAUGCUGGUAACACUGCUUGGGCUAAGAUGAUCAAACAAUGGUGAAUGAGCCAUUGUCAUUAACCACAACCACCAGUUUUAUUGUUGUGUGUGGCGUUUGUUUUUUAACUGUGGUUCAAAGAAGGAAGGUGUAAGUUUGGGUUCUCACUAGCAUAGGGUUUCAUUAUAAGCAGCAGAUUUCAUUUUUACUUCUUUUUUUUUAAUAUGGAUCAUCGUUUUAAUUUGGUUGCCAUUUAUUAUUUGUUUUGGUUUGUUCUUGAAUUUGGAUUAUAUUGUCAAAUAUAUGGUCAGGUCUCUUGUGGUUGAAUCAAUAGUCUAAUGAAUUUGUGGGUUAUCUAUACUUCUGAAACAUAUGAGCUUCCACGCUACUUCAGGGGCAUAGUUGGUCGUGUGGCAAACUGGAUCUAAGACGGCAAAUGUAGACUCAGUGGAAUCGACUACACCUCCCAUCAGUAAGCCUCUAAACAACAUCCAUGGUACGUAACACUUAUCUCUUAUUUUGUAUGAUUAUAUAGCAUUUUGCAAAGUUCAUCAGAUAUGUUUAAAACAUAAAUGUUACUCAUAAAUAUGGGACGUAGCAGAAGACGGUGAAAGACCUUUCAUCACUUUCAAAUAUCACAUAUCUGGUCGAGAAGAAGGUCCAUACAUCUAUAUAUGGGAUUAACGUUGUGGAAAAGAUCUUUUUUCAUCAUUUAUCUUAUACCUCUUGGAUAGGUUAUCCUGGUGCAGUUUCUAACACACCGACAUACAUUCUCAUGUCAGAAACUACCAUGAAACUUAACAUGGAGGCAUCUGCAGAGAACAAAAACACUCCAAUUAACUUAGCUCAGAAUAUGUACUGGAACUUGGCGGGUAAUAACUCAUGGAACAUUCUUGACCACAUGAUCCAGAUUUGGGGUCCACAUAUCACCCUUGAUCCACACACAGAUCAUGCGAGAUCCUUACGGGAAAGGGAUCUCCUUUCGCUUUCACCACAAGAAAGGGAUAGGCGAGUCUACAGGAGAGGUGGGUAUCAGAUACGAUCAUAACUACGUAUUGGACUGUCCUGAUCAAGAGAAGGACGGGCUGAAACAUGCAACAAAGCUGAAGGACUGUGCGAGUGAACAAGUGGUUUUACAUGGAUGUGGUUUAGGUAACUGAUUGGAAUUACUGGCCGUUUAAAUUAUUUAUGUCUUCAUAUAUAUAUAAAUUUUAAACGU